UUGCGACUGUAAUAGGUACUUUCCGCAUCUGGUAAAAAUGUGUUUGUUUAUUUGCCAGUCAUAAUUCUUUUAAAAAAUAAAGAUAACAUCUUAAAAGUUUGGCAAGUUUCAGGUUGACCUGAAUUGAUGCGAUAGGUUACAUUAUUGAAUGUACAGUAUUUGCAACAAGAUUUCAUAACUCAACAACUUGCAUUUAUGAUCGUUUUCAGUUGAAAAGUGCAAAAUCGAGAGAGAAGUUUUCAACAUAUCUGAAAACGUCUAAUUAAUAUUUUAAAAUUAUUUAUCGCUAUUUAACUCAAUCGAAUUAUCUGUUGUCGAAUUUUAUACGAUUCCAUAUCAGCUAAAGUUUUGUAAUUAAAAAAAAAAACAUUGUCUUUAGAAUGUCGAGUGCAUGUCAUUUAAAAAGUGCUCAACAACUCAAACCUCCACCAAAUGUGACAAUUCCUGGCGAUAUGGGUCCGACAGACGAUUUCUUUUCUUCAUCCGAUCAAUUGCCAAAAAUUCUCUUAGUCCUAUUGUAGGAACGAAUGCAAACGAAAAUCAUUUUAUAUUUUAUUACAAAUGUGAAAUAAAGAACGACACGACGACUUCUCUGCGAAACUUAAAAUAUUUCCACGUAACAUUGCUCAUCAAUGCUUUAAACAUCUUUUAAUGCUGAAAAUUUCGAACUAUUUCUUUUUUCAAAGUUAUGGAGUUUGACACGAAGUCGUAAAACAUGCUUGACGCCUAUACAAAAACACGGGACAAUCUCUAAACAGCUGAUCCUGUCUUGGGUCAAGUGACCUAGGUCCUCCUGGGGGCACUGGUGACCUUUCUUGCUUGGGGUGCCAUUUGGCCUAGAUCACAGUUUGCUUUGACAUAGCUGACUGUUAGAUAUACAGUAAUACAACACAUUUUUAAUACUGGCAUUUGAGAUACUAUCUAAAAGUUUUAAUAGUUUUUUUAACCUUUAAAAUUUUUGCCUAUUUGUAUGCGAUUCAUAAAUUGCAUAUUUUUCUACGCAGAUUGGAAACUGUCAGUAGAAUUUUCGUACGCAAUAAAUCAAUUCAAAAC
This 1053-nucleotide long non-coding RNA is filed under the name Androctonus crassicauda. Lineage: Eukaryota; Metazoa; Arthropoda; Arachnida; Scorpiones; Buthidae. The record is from RNAcentral.